Molecule: ribosomal RNA, 818 nt
Filed under: Leptoxyphium sp.
Lineage: Eukaryota; Fungi; Ascomycota; Dothideomycetes; Capnodiales; Capnodiaceae
Description: partial large subunit ribosomal RNA
Rfam family: Eukaryotic large subunit ribosomal RNA
Source: RNAcentral
UGCCUCAGUAACGGCGAGUGAAGCGGCAAAAGCUCAGAUUUGAAAUCUGGCGUCUUUGGCGUCCGAGUUGUAAUCUGUAGAGGAUGCCUUUGGGUGGCCACCGGUCUAAGUCCCCUGGAACGGGGUGUCACAGAGGGUGAGAAUCCCGUAUGUGACCGGGAAGGCGCCCUAUACAUGGCUCCUUCGACGAGUCGAGUUGUUUGGGAAUGCAGCUCUAAAUGGGAGGUAAAUUCCUUCUAAAGCUAAAUACCGGCCAGAGACCGAUAGCGCACAAGUAGAGUGAUCGAAAGAUGAAAAGCACUUUGGAAAGAGAGUUAAAAAGCACGUGAAAUUGUUGAAAGGGAAGCGCUUGCAACCAGACUUGUUGGCGGUGUUCCGCCGGUCUUCUGACCGGUCUACUCACCGUCUGCAGGCCAGCAUCAUCUGGGGCCGCUGGAUAAAAGCGGAGGGAAUGUGGCUCCUCCGGGAGUGUUAUAGCCCUCUGUGUAAUACAGCGAGUCCCGGGUGAGGUCCGCGCUUCGGCUAGGAUGCUGGCGUAAUGGUCGUAAGCGGCCCGUCUUGAAACACGGACCAAGGAGUCUAACAUCUAUGCGAGUGUUCGGGUGUCAAACCCCUACGCGUAAUGAAAGUGAACGGAGGUGGGAACCUUUUAGGUGCACCAUCGACCGAUCCUGAUGUCUUCGGAUGGAUUUGAGUAAGAGCAUAGCUGUUGGGACCCGAAAGAUGGUGAACUAUGCCUGGAUAGGGUGAAGCCAGAGGAAACUCUGGUGGAGCUCGCAGCGGUUCUGACGUGCAAAUCGAUCGUCAAAUUUGGGUAU